AUUGAACGCUGGCGGCAUGCCUUACACAUGCAAGUCGAACGGCAGCACGGGUGCUUGCACCUGGUGGCGAGUGGCGAACGGGUGAGUAAUACAUCGGAACGUACCUUAUCGUGGGGGAUAACGCUGCGAAAGCUGUGCUAAUACCGCAUACGCCCUGAGGGGGAAAGCGGGGGAUCGAAAGACCUCGCGCGAUUAGAGCGGCCGAUGCCUGAUUAGCUUGUUGGUGGGGUAAAAGCCCACCAAGGCGACGAUCAGUAGCUGGUCUGAGAGGGCGAUCAGCCACACUGGGACUGAGACACGGCCAGACUCCUACGGGAGGCAGCAGUGGGGAAUUUUGGACAAUGGGGGCAACCCUGAUCCAGCAAUGCCGCGUGAGUGAAGAAGGCCUUCGGGUUGUAAAGCUCUUUUGUCAGGGAAGAAACACCGGCUCUAACACAGUCCGGGAAUGACGGUACCUGAAGAAUAAGCACCGGCUAACUACGUGCCAGCCGCCGCAGUAA
RNAcentral lists this ribosomal RNA (500 nucleotides) under uncultured bacterium. RNAcentral describes it as "partial 16S ribosomal RNA". It matches the Rfam family "Bacterial small subunit ribosomal RNA", at positions 30 to 523 of the family's 1533-position model. The record is from RNAcentral.